GGACCCGCACAAGCGGUGGAUGAUGUGGUUUAAUUCGAUGCAACGCGAAAAACCUUACCUACCCUUGACAUGUCUGGAAUCCUGAAGAGAUUUGGGAGUGCUCGAAAGAGAGCCAGAACACAGGUGCUGCAUGGCCGUCGUCAGCUCGUGUCGUGAGAUGUUGGGUUAAGUCCCGCAACGAGCGCAACCCUUGUCAUUAGUUGCUACGAAAGGGCACUCUAAUGAGACUGCCGGUGACAAACCGGAGGAAGGUGGGGAUGACGUCAGGUCAUCAUGGCCCUUAUGGGUAGGGCUACACACGUCAUACAAUGGCCGGUACAGAGGGCUGCCAACCCGCGAGGGGGAGCUAAUCUCAGAAAACCGGUCGUAGUCCGGAUCGCAGUCUGCAACUCGACUGCGUGAAGUCGGAAUCGCUAGUAAUCGCGGAUCAGCUUGCCGCGGUGAAUACGUUCCCGGGUCUU
This 461-nucleotide ribosomal RNA is filed under the name uncultured bacterium. RNAcentral's name for it is "bacterial SSU rRNA". It matches the Rfam family "Bacterial small subunit ribosomal RNA", at positions 917 to 1382 of the family's 1533-position model. The record is from RNAcentral.